Molecule: transfer RNA, 77 nt
Filed under: compost metagenome
Description: tRNA-Sec
Rfam family: tRNA
About the family: Transfer RNA (tRNA) molecules are approximately 80 nucleotides in length. Their secondary structure includes four short double-helical elements and three loops (D, anti-codon, and T loops).
Source: RNAcentral
CGCCCCUUAGCUCAGUCUGGUAGAGCAACGCCCGAUUCAAUCGGAAGAGGUCGCUGGUUCAAAUCCGGCAGGGGCGC